GCCUGGCUGGCUCAGGUGGUGGAGCAUGGGACUCUUGAUCUUGCGGUGGUGAGUUCAAGCCCCAUGUUGGGUG
This 73-nucleotide transfer RNA is filed under the name Felis catus (domestic cat). It matches the Rfam family "tRNA". From Rfam's summary of the family: Transfer RNA (tRNA) molecules are approximately 80 nucleotides in length. Their secondary structure includes four short double-helical elements and three loops (D, anti-codon, and T loops). The record is from Rfam by way of RNAcentral. Lineage: Eukaryota; Metazoa; Chordata; Mammalia; Carnivora; Felidae.